RNAcentral lists this long non-coding RNA (680 nucleotides) under Cyanistes caeruleus (blue tit). RNAcentral's name for it is "lncRNA (ENSCCEG00000009778.1)". Lineage: Eukaryota; Metazoa; Chordata; Aves; Passeriformes; Paridae. The record is from RNAcentral.
UAAAGCCAUUAAUCCUUUGUGUGACUGCUAUGGAUACUGAAAACUGCACAAAAGACAGAGAACAAUGGGAUCUCUAUAUACCUUAAAAAUUAAUUAUUCAAUGGCCUUAAUGCAUUGCGUGGCUGAAGUCAAAACUGAAUUGUAACUUGACAUACCUGCAGAAGAAGUAUUCCAAUGGAUUUAUGUAAUCUGCAUUAAUGAAAUACAAGAAGAAGAGCAGUGCUGUGAAGGAUAUCGAUCGAGACAGUUUGAUUGUUGUCAGAAUCAGGAAUAGAGCUCUGAUCUCUUCAGUUUUUGCCAAGAAAGCUCAGGGGCUGAAGACGAUGUAAAGAUCUCGCUCCUAAAAUCCUGGUGAGAUUUACUGCUUGUAUGAAUGUCGGCUACAUGGCACAUACUUGGCCAUGAUGAGACCUCCCACAAGUGCUGACUGUAUGAGCAGGGUUUACGGGGUUGAAAAGAAAUAUUUUCCUUGGAAAACAGAAACUGUAAAAAUCAACACUAAAAGUAAGUAAACUCCAAUUUAGACUAAUUCAAAUAUUUUUUUUACACUGAUCAGAGACUCCUCUUAUGGUGGACUGUGAAAGCUGGAGUAUACCAGGCUGAUUUGAAUCACCUAUUUGAAAAUCAUAGUUUUGCAAAGUGGUGGUGUCUGAAUUUUGGUUACCAGUUAUAAGUUCAAA